This 253-nucleotide unclassified non-coding RNA is filed under the name uncultured Parcubacteria group bacterium. RNAcentral's name for it is "contains 16S-23S intergenic spacer region". It matches the Rfam family "Bacterial small subunit ribosomal RNA", at positions 524 to 776 of the family's 1533-position model. The record is from RNAcentral.
UACGAGUGCCCCGAGCGUUAUCCGGAAUCAUUGGGCGUAAAGGGUGCGUAGGCGGUCUUGUUAGUCUUCUGUUAAAUAUCUCGGCUCAACCGAGAAGUUGCAGGGGAAACGGCAAGACUUGAGGGUGUGAGAGGUGUACGGAACUCAUAGUGUAGGGGUGAAAUCCGUUGAUAUUAUGGGGAACACCAAAAGCGAAGGCAGUACACUGGCACACUCCUGACGCUGAGGCACGAAAGCGUGGGGAUCGAACGGG